Long non-coding RNA from Limulus polyphemus (Atlantic horseshoe crab), 299 nucleotides. RefSeq lists it as uncharacterized. The record is from RefSeq and is a predicted model, not a curated record. The transcript is spliced from 3 exons. NCBI's taxonomy places the organism in Eukaryota, Metazoa, Arthropoda, Merostomata, Xiphosura, Limulidae.
GUUUUGGGAAGAGACGCCGGCACUUGAUACAGUAAUGAAACGAAUUAUAGAAAAGGUUAAAAAACUUACUGAUGGACUUCAAUUGCUUGUGGAGCGGUCCAUCAAGGCCUGGCAGAUCUUCAUGGGUGGAGACAGUGGAACAACGGUAACUGAAGGAGGAGUGACAACAGGAGGCGAAACGACCGAAGAAUACCCAGCAUAGUAUAAACUUGGAGGCCUAAUCAGUGGAAUUCUCAAGCUUUUGAUUAAAAGCUGAGACGGAGCAGAUCUUCAUUAUACAUUGCUAUACAUGCAUGAGC